Molecule: ribosomal RNA, 250 nt
Filed under: uncultured bacterium
Lineage: Bacteria
Description: partial 16S ribosomal RNA
Rfam family: Bacterial small subunit ribosomal RNA
Source: RNAcentral
UACGUAGGGUGCGAGCGUAAUCGGAAUUACUGGGCGUAAAGCGUGCGCAGGCGGUUCGUUGUGUCGGCGGUGAAAGCCCCGGGCUUAACCUGGGAAUGGCCGUUGAAACUGGCGAACUGGAGUGUGGCAGAGGGGGUGGAAUUCCGCGUGUAGCAGUGAAAUGCGUAGAGAUGCGGAGGAACACCGAUGGCGAAGGCAGCCCCUGGGCUAACACUGACGCUCAGGCACGAAAGCGUGGGGAGCAAACAGG